GUCUUGAAACACGGACCAGGGAGUCUAGCAUGUGCGCGAGUCAUUGGGAACAACUAAACCUAAAGGCGCAAUGAAAGUGAAGGUCCGCCUCGCGCGGACCGAGGGAGGAUGGGCGGCGUCCGCCGAAAGUCGGCCCGCCCCGCACUCCCGGGGCGUCUCGUUCUCAUUGCGAGAAGAGGCGCACCAAGAGCGUACACGCUGGGACCCGAAAGAUGGUGAACUAUGCCUGGUCAGGACGAAGUCAGGGGAAACCCUGAUGGAGGUCCGUAGCGAUUCUGACGUGCAAAUCGAUCGUCGGAACUGGGUAUAGGGGCGAAAGACUAAUCGAACCAUCUAGUAGCUGGUUCCCUCCGAAGUUUCCCUCAGGAUAGCUGGCGCUCGUCGCCUACGAGUCUCAUCCGGUAAAGCGAAUGAUUAGAGGCAUUGGGGUCGAAACGGCCUCAACCUAUUCUCAAACUUUAAAUGGGUGAGAUCUCCGGCUUGCUCGAACUACUGAAGCCGCGAGACACGGAUCAGAGUGCCAAGUGGGCCAUUUUUGGUAAGCAGAACUGGCGCUGUGGGAUGAACCAAACGCCGAGUUAAAGCGCCUAAAUCGACGCUUAUGGGAUACCAUGAAAGGCGUUGGUAACUUAAGACAGCAGGACGGUGGCCAUGGAAGUCGGAAUCCGCUAAGGAGUGUUGU
Molecule: ribosomal RNA, 682 nt
Filed under: Cymatodera intermedia
Lineage: Eukaryota; Metazoa; Arthropoda; Insecta; Coleoptera; Cleridae
Description: eukaryotic LSU rRNA
Rfam family: Eukaryotic large subunit ribosomal RNA
Source: RNAcentral